RNAcentral lists this ribosomal RNA (465 nucleotides) under uncultured Klebsiella sp. RNAcentral's name for it is "bacterial SSU rRNA". It matches the Rfam family "Bacterial small subunit ribosomal RNA", at positions 338 to 795 of the family's 1533-position model. Lineage: Bacteria; Pseudomonadati; Pseudomonadota; Gammaproteobacteria; Enterobacterales; Enterobacteriaceae. The record is from RNAcentral.
CCUACGGGUGGCAGCAGUGGGGAAUAUUGCACAAUGGGCGCAAGCCUGAUGCAGCCAUGCCGCGUGUGUGAAGAGGGCCUUCGGGUUGUAAAGCACUUUCAGCGGGGAGGAAGGCGGUGAGGUUAAUAACCUCAUCGAUUGACGUUACCCGCAGAAGAAGCACCGGCUAACUCCGUGCCAGCAGCCGCGGUAAUACGGAGGGUGCAAGCGUUAAUCGGAAUUACUGGGCGUAAAGCGCACGCAGGCGGUCUGUCAAGUCGGAUGUGAAAUCCCCGGGCUCAACCUGGGAACUGCAUUCGAAACUGGCAGGCUAGAGUCUUGUAGAGGGGGGUAGAAUUCCAGGUGUAGCGGUGAAAUGCGUAGAGAUCUGGAGGAAUACCGGUGGCGAAGGCGGCCCCCUGGACAAAGACUGACGCUCAGGUGCGAAAGCGUGGGGAGCAAACAGGAUUAGAUACCCCUGUAGUC